RNAcentral lists this ribosomal RNA (684 nucleotides) under Schaalia turicensis. Its description in RNAcentral is "bacterial SSU rRNA". It matches the Rfam family "Bacterial small subunit ribosomal RNA", at positions 210 to 892 of the family's 1533-position model. The record is from RNAcentral. Lineage: Bacteria; Bacillati; Actinomycetota; Actinomycetes; Actinomycetales; Actinomycetaceae.
UUUUUCUGGUGGGGGAUGGGCUCGCGGCCUAUCAGCUUGUUGGUGGGGUGAUGGCCUACCAAGGCUUUGACGGGUAACCGGCCUGAGAGGGUGACCGGUCACAUUGGGACUGAGAUACGGCCCAGACUCCUACGGGAGGCAGCAGUGGGGAAUUUUGCACAAUGGGCGCAAGCCUGAUGCAGCGACGCCGCGUGAGGGAUGAAGGCCUUCGGGUUGUAAACCUUUUUCGCUCAUGGUCAAGCCGCAGCUUUGGGUUGUGGUGAGGGUAGUGGGUAAAGAAGCGCCGGCUAACUACGUGCCAGCAGCCGCGGUAAUACGUAGGGCGCGAGCGUUGUCCGGAAUUAUUGGGCGUAAAGGGCUUGUAGGCGGUUGGCCGCGUCUGCCGUGAAAUCCUCUGGCUUAACUGGGGGCGUGCGGUGGGUACGGGUUGACUUGAGUGCGGUAGGGGAGACUGGAAUUCCUGGUGUAGCGGUGGAAUGCGCAGAUAUCAGGAGGAACACCGGUGGCGAAGGCGGGUCUCUGGGCCGUUACUGACGCUGAGGAGCGAAAGCGUGGGGAGCGAACAGGAUUAGAUACCCUGGUAGUCCACGCUGUAAACGUUGGGCACUAGGUGUGGGGGCCACCCGUGGUUUCUGCGCCGUAGCUAACGCUUUAAGUGCCCCGCCUGGGGAGUACGGUCGCAAG